UUUUUUUUUUAGCUUUAUCUGUUGAAUCUCCAGUGCCUUCAGUGUAAAAAUAAUCUUUCUGCCCAAGUGGCCUAUUUUGGGGUGGCAUAUUCUAAUCCCCGUCCACCGGCAGACAGCAUUUUGCCCCCAUCCCCCCAGCUCCGUUUAUUUGCCUUAGGGUCUUACCCCAAGUACAGGAAUCCAUACCUUCCAUGGGCACCUGUUCUGUGCAGACGCCCUUGACCUUGAGUACCAGGACGGGAUUAGAAUGUGACGAGGGAGACAAGCCAGAGAGCCACAAAGAACAGACAGUGAGAGAGCAGACAGCUCCAUCCAUGCUGCUUUAGGAUUUGGGGAAUUUUCCAGGGAUUGUCAAAGCUCCAUAAAGCCAAGUUCCUUUUGACUUCCGAGGAGCUGGGCGUGGGGUCUUGGAAGCCUGCAGAAAACCUCUUAGCUGUUCCCCUGCAAAUGUACUUGACUUCUCAAGCUGCAUUCCAGAGGACUUCACCCUGAGGACUUUUUUUUCUUUUACAAAAAACCUGUUCUGGAGGCUGCGUGGGAGCCUGGCUGGAAGAAGGAACCGGCUCUGCCAGCCCCGGCGCCUGUGCUGGAGCCCGGCGAGCAAGGUCAGCCGGUGGCCGGCCACGUCCAUGGCCACGUCCCUGAUCAGGAAGGGGUUGCAGGCCCCCGGCUGGAGCAGGAGGGUGAGCACGGUCUGGAUUCCCAGUGGCUGACAGAUUGCUUCCUGCCUUUCUGUGGGGAGAGCACAGAGGCAAGAGAGAGGCCUUGGGGGAACGGAGACCCUUCGCUGAGGCCCCGAGGGGUGGACCCCCGGCCCCCGCCGAGGUGAGGAAGACUAUGCGAGAUGGAGGGCAGCUGCCGAGGCGUGCUGGCUGCGCUGGUCGUUCUGGCUGGGCUGGCAGGUAGGGACCUCGGGGCUUGGUGGAAAGUUCCUGGGCAUCCCAGCUGCAGUGGGUGAAGGGACUCGGAGGAGGCCACCAGGGUGUGUGGCUGACAGAAGAUGCUGAGCCCUCUUCCCACCCCCGACCCUGCCUCCUUGUGGGCUCCACUCCGGAAGGGUCCUGCAGGAGCUCCUGACCCCACCUCUCCUCCUCCAUCCCGGUCCUUGAUCCCGGAGGCUGCUUUGGCACCUUUCUCUUCCGUUUCUAUCUGGUCUUCAGGGAAGACGUGACGCCGGCGUCACCUCUUCCCUGAAGCCUUCCUGAGCUUGCAGUUUUCCGGGUGAUAUCCCAGUUCCCAUUACUGACAGAGCGAGGGACCUGUUGCCUGUGAGACCUCCCAGUUGUCCCCACAGCUCCUCUUCGUCCCGGAAGGUUCCCAGAGUCUCGGUGGAAAUGGACUCCAGGUGUCCCAGGCCAGGGUCUCAGAUCAGAGUUGCAGGAGACGGGGAGAUGGAGCAUGCCAACCCCGGGGGUCAUCGGGUAACGAGAGCUUAUACCCCAGCUUUCUUU
Molecule: long non-coding RNA, 1451 nt
Filed under: Sus scrofa (pig)
Lineage: Eukaryota; Metazoa; Chordata; Mammalia; Artiodactyla; Suidae
Description: lncRNA (ENSSSCG00060006084.1)
Source: RNAcentral